RNAcentral lists this small nuclear RNA (107 nucleotides) under Erpetoichthys calabaricus (reedfish). Its description in RNAcentral is "U1 spliceosomal RNA (ENSECRG00000012307.1)". It matches the Rfam family "U1 spliceosomal RNA", at positions 14 to 121 of the family's 166-position model. Rfam says of the family: U1 is a small nuclear RNA (snRNA) component of the spliceosome (involved in pre-mRNA splicing). Its 5' end forms complementary base pairs with the 5' splice junction, thus defining the 5' donor site of an intron. There are significant differences in sequence and secondary structure between metazoan and yeast U1 snRNAs, the latter being much longer (568 nucleotides as compared to 164 nucleotides in human). The record is from Rfam by way of RNAcentral. Lineage: Eukaryota; Metazoa; Chordata; Cladistia; Polypteriformes; Polypteridae.
AGGGGAGAUGCCAUGAUCACUAAGGUGGUUCUCCUAGGGCGAGGCUCAUCCACUGUGCUCCGGGUGUGCUGACCCCUGCGAUUUCCCCAAAUGCGGGAAACCCAACU